CGCGGGGUGGAGCAGUUGGCAGCUCGUCGGGCUCAUAACCCGAAGGUCGCAGGUUCAAGUCCUGCCCCCGCAA
The sequence is a transfer RNA, 73 nucleotides long. It matches the Rfam family "tRNA". From Rfam's summary of the family: Transfer RNA (tRNA) molecules are approximately 80 nucleotides in length. Their secondary structure includes four short double-helical elements and three loops (D, anti-codon, and T loops). The record is from Rfam.